Tyto alba (common barn owl) is the source of this 103-nucleotide long non-coding RNA. RefSeq lists it as uncharacterized. The record is from RefSeq and is a predicted model, not a curated record. NCBI's taxonomy places the organism in Eukaryota, Metazoa, Chordata, Aves, Strigiformes, Tytonidae. The transcript has 3 exons.
CAGAAGGUCAAGGGAGAGGAUUCUCCACCUCUGCUCCAGUCUCACGAGACCCCCACCUGCAGUGCUGUGUUCAGGUCUAGGGACCCCCACAUCAGAAGGACAC